Molecule: ribosomal RNA, 351 nt
Filed under: uncultured Spirotrichea
Lineage: Eukaryota; Ciliophora; Spirotrichea
Description: SSU rRNA
Rfam family: Eukaryotic small subunit ribosomal RNA
Source: RNAcentral
UAAUUCUAGAGCUAAUACAUGCUGUUAAGCCCAACUUAUGGAAGGGCCGUAUUUAUUAGAUAACAGACCAAUAUUCUUCGUGUCUAUUGUGGUGAAUCAUAGUAACUAAUCGGAUCGUAUGGGCUAGUCCCUCGACAAACCAUUCAAGUUUCUGCCCCAUCAGCUUUCGAUGGUAGUGUAUUGGACUACCAUGGCUUUCACGGGUAACGGAGGAUUAGGGUUCGAUUCCGGAGAGGGAGCCUGAGAAACGGCUACCACAUCUAAGGAAGGCAGCAGGCGCGUAAAUUACCCAAUUCUGACUCAGAGAGGUAGUGACAAGAAAUAACGGGCAGGGACAUACGUCCCUGGACU